GACCCAACUACAGAGUAGAGCCCCCUCAAAAAAAAACUACAGAGUAGAGUACACGACCUCGCAUCCUCACAUCCCGAUUCAUAGAAACCACCAGCAGCCAAUCUCUCGUUCUCCCACUGCUAACCCUAGCCGCCGCCUGCUGCUUGCCUCGAUGCGCGCUGCGCCCCCCUGAAUGAAGAUCGGCGCCCGAGCGGCGGCCCUAGCCGGUGAAGACCGGCGCCCGAGCGGCAGGCCUGGCAGGUGAAGACGGGCACCUCGAGCGGCGGCCCUGAGCCCCUGACCGUGAAGACUGUCGCCCUGCGCCGCCGCCAACCCCAACCUCCCGUCGGUCGCUCCACCGCCUACGACGCGGCCGUCCGCUGCCGGUGCUCCACCUCCCGACGACCUGCCCACUUUUGGUUCUCAACAUCGCAGCUGAAGAUGUUUUCUGAACAUGAUGACAAACUGAAUGAGAAUCAAGAUGCAUUUAUGAGUGUAGAGGCAAAGGCAGAUGCAGAAGCAGCAGCUGCAGAAGCAGGAGACGAAUCUUCUUACUUUCUUUCAAAUAGAAAUGAUUAUGCAUGCAUGAAUCUUGUUGCUGGACCAUGAAUCAUGAAUGUUCUUACUUUGUGUCAUAUGAAUCUUGUUACUUGCUCUCAAAUGUAAACAUGUACUGGUACUUUGCUACUUGCUGUUGCAUAUAAACAUGUAUUGGUACUUUCUGCUCUCAAAUAUAAACAUGUAUUGGUACUGGAAGUCUGGAAGUAACAUGAAUAUGAGUUCUAGCAAAUUAAUUUGGUCUAUUUGGUCGGGACCGAAGACCGAAUUGUAAAGACCGAAGACCGAAUAGUGAAGAACCGAAAAGACCGAAAUUAUUUCGGUCUUCAAUUCUGGAAGACCGAAUUAUUGGAAGACCGAAAAGACCGAACCGAAAAGACCGAAUGCCCGGGGCUACUGGUGAGGCUCUUCGAGACCACCCACGAAGAUGCCUGGAAGUUGCUCUUUAAGGGCAACAAGAAACCGCCGGCCACGGAUUCAGACCGUGGUCACGACUAUAAACACCCCUCCAGCGAGGACUGGAUGAAGAGGGCGAAGCGGAUCCAGUGUCCGGCUCCGCUGCCCGAAGAACCGGUCAUCCCACGCCUAGCGGAGAUGCUGGUGCCGGCGCAUUAUAAGGUGCCGGAGAAGAAGGCCAAGAAAAAGGCCAAGGGGGCGAAGAGUGGCCCCCGUCGCAAGGGCACUUCGGGCGCGACGUCUGAAGACGAUGAGGCCCAUUCCUCUGUCCCUGAGGACAAUGACGAGGAAGAGGAGAAGAAGAAGAGGGCGGUCUCGGCACAUCCGGAGGCGAAAGCGCCCAAAAAGGGGAAGGGCGCCCCAGUGGUCAAUACCACGUGGGAUGUUGACAGUAGUCCGGAAUGACGCCCCCGCACUAAGCCCCAGGCCGCAUCGUAAGUGACACAGCUUAUUAAUGCGCACAUCCAGCCCUUUCUCUUUAUUAUUUUAACAUGGUUAACUACACCAUUGCAGUCUGGCCCGUGACCUUAUCCAGCGAUCCUCAUCUGGAGGUUCGUUGGCUCCAUCGGAGAUGGCGAGCAUGUCGCCACCGGCUGCUUACUCCCCCGGGGCCAGGGACGACACCGAAGUGCUGUCCCGGAGGACUGCAUCGAAGGGAGGAGCCCAGGACGUUGUCCGGGAGGCGCCACAAGGCGAGACCUCCGCUGCCGGACACAUGGGGGAACCAAUCCCCAUGAAGACUGGCGAGGAGGGCCGUAUCCAGUUCGACCCUUAGCCGAAUACGAUUCCGGAGACCCAUAUGGCUCCAGAGUCGGGCGAGCAGCCCCCUUUGAAGGAGGGGGGUGCACCGCCUCCACCGGUGGCUCCUGUCUAUCCAGGAGCGUCAGAUGAUCUGAUGGGGGCGCUACUAAGCGCCUCCGUUGUGGACGAGCACCGUGUCCUUAUGGGUGCGGUGACCGAGAAGGUUCAGUCCGCCAAGACCGGACUUAAUGAAGCCUGCAGCAGCCUAUUAACAGGU
This is a long non-coding RNA of Triticum aestivum (bread wheat), 2011 nucleotides long. RefSeq lists it as uncharacterized. The record is from RefSeq and is a predicted model, not a curated record. Lineage: Eukaryota; Viridiplantae; Streptophyta; Magnoliopsida; Poales; Poaceae. The transcript is spliced from 3 exons.